This 506-nucleotide ribosomal RNA is filed under the name uncultured bacterium. Its description in RNAcentral is "partial 16S ribosomal RNA". It matches the Rfam family "Bacterial small subunit ribosomal RNA", at positions 29 to 523 of the family's 1533-position model. The record is from RNAcentral.
AGUGAACGCUGGCGGUAGGCCUAACACAUGCAAGUCGAACGGCAGCACAGAGGAGCUUGCUCCUUGGGUGGCGAGUGGCGGACGGGUGAGGAAUACAUCGGAAUCUACUCUGUCGUGGGGGAUAACGUAGGGAAACUUACGCUAAUACCGCAUACGACCUACGGGUGAAAGCAGGGGAUCCUCGGACCUUGCGCGAUUGAAUGAGCCGAUGUCGGAUUAGCUAGUUGGCGGGGUAAAGGCCCACCAAGGCGACGGUCCGUAGCUGGUCUGAGAGGAUGAUCAGCCACACUGGAACUGAGACACGGUCCAGACUCCUACGGGAGGCAGCAGUGGGGAAUAUUGGACAAUGGGCGCAAGCCUGAUCCAGCCAUACCGCGUGGGUGAAGAAGGCCUUCGGGUUGUAAAGCCCUUUUGUUGGGAAAGAAAUCCAUCUGGUUAAUACCCGGGUGGGAUGACGGUACCCAAAGAAUAAGCACCGGCUAACUUCGUGCCAGCCGCCGCGGUAA